RNAcentral lists this long non-coding RNA (287 nucleotides) under Elaeis guineensis (African oil palm). Its description in RNAcentral is "long non-coding RNA (EGUI_LNC007898)". The record is from RNAcentral. Lineage: Eukaryota; Viridiplantae; Streptophyta; Magnoliopsida; Arecales; Arecaceae.
GGGUAGGUGUCUGCCACUCAAAGCACCUUCCUUUUUCUAUAGGUCCACAUCGCGAAUCUUGCGGUUGAGAAGUUCUCAUCUUCUUGGGGUGGUCUUAGGAAUCAGCCUGGUGACUGCUCCGUGCACAUGAGAAAUUAAUUCUCAGUUCACAUGGUUCAAACAGAAGUUUGCGGUUCAGGGAAAUUUUGUAAUAUCCCUGAGGGCCUCCUGGCCGGUUCUUGUUUUGCUUUGUUUCCUUCUAUUCGUUGGUUAUCCUACUCAUCAUUAAAACAAAAAGGACCAUCCAA